GCCCAGCGCAGUGGCACGUGCCUGUAGUUCCAGCUACUCAGGAGGCUGAGGUGGGAGGAUCACUUGAGCCCAGGAAUUCUGGGCUGUAGUGCACUAUGCCAAUCGGGUGUCCGCAACAAGUUUGGCAUCAAUAUGGUAGCCUCCCAGGAGUGAGGGACCACCAGGUUACCUAAGGAGGGGUGAACCGGCCCAGGUCAGAAACAGAGCAGGUCAAAAACUCCUGUGCCGAUCAGUAGUGGGAUCGCACCUGUGAGUAGUCACUGCACUCCAGCCUGGGCAACAUAGCGAGACCCCAUCUCU
Molecule: signal recognition particle RNA, 300 nt
Filed under: Saimiri boliviensis boliviensis (Bolivian squirrel monkey)
Lineage: Eukaryota; Metazoa; Chordata; Mammalia; Primates; Cebidae
Description: Metazoan signal recognition particle RNA (ENSSBOG00000010863.1)
Rfam family: Metazoan signal recognition particle RNA
About the family: The signal recognition particle (SRP) is a universally conserved ribonucleoprotein. It is involved in the co-translational targeting of proteins to membranes.
Source: RNAcentral